AUUAAAGUUUGGGUUGAUUUCGACUUACAUGUCCGAGCAGUUGGUUAGUGGAUUUACGGCAGCAGUGGCAAUACACAUCACAACGAGUCAGGCAAAACAUAUUUUUGGCAUCUCUGUGCCUCAACAUAAUGGCAUAUUCAAGGUGAUAAAGACCUGGAGAGAUGUUUGUUACAACAUACCAUCCACUAACUUCGCCACACUCAUUAGCACUGUGAUUUGUUUUAUCAUUCUUUACCUCGUUAAAGUUCAAAUUAAUAUGAGAUUUAAGGCCAAACUGAAGAUGCCCAUUCCUAUAGAACUCAUCAUUAUUUCCAUUGCAACUGUCAUAGCUCAUUUUGCCAAGUUCCAUCAGAGGUUUAACAUCAACAUUUUAAAAGACAUCCCAGCAGGGUUGCCAUCACCAGUUUUACCUAACCCUGUUUUGGCUACAGGGUAUGUAGCUGACGCCUUCAUUAUAGGAAUCGUGGCCUUCACCCAUUCGGUAUCUGGCGCUAGACUUCUGGCCAGGAAACAUAAUUAUGAAAUUGAUCCUA
This is a long non-coding RNA of Mytilus californianus (California mussel), 533 nucleotides long. RefSeq lists it as uncharacterized. The record is from RefSeq and is a predicted model, not a curated record. The transcript has 4 exons. NCBI's taxonomy places the organism in Eukaryota, Metazoa, Mollusca, Bivalvia, Mytilida, Mytilidae.